AAGACAAACAAACUCACCCCCGCUAUGGAGUUUCGUGACAGCCACCUCCACAUCUGCUAAGGAGUGCAUGCUGAUGAGGUCUGCACCGAAGGCUUUGCAUUUCAAACGUGCUGCGUCCCAGGAACUACUUUCAUUCGCCAGCAGAUAGCAAAACCCGUUAUUUGGCAGCCAGCCCACAUGGCAGUGGGUAUCUGUCCCUCAAAUGGUUCUUCCUUGAGUCACAAGCUUCUGGAAAACUGGGAGAUGUGAUGUCAGCUAUCUGUGACAUGAAUGUUAUGCUGUGCUUCCUAUGUAUCUGGCAUUAUAAGAACUCAUGAGGAGAUUCAGGCACGAACUGUCCUGAUUCUGAGACACAUAAGGUCGGAGAUUUGGAAGGUCACCCCCACCCAUGUCUCUGAGAUUAGGAAGACUCAAGCCUUCUUUUCUAAUGUGAUCGGCUUGAAGCCAAAUGUUUAAAGUAGGCCUUUUGGGGGCUUACCAAGGAGCUUCGUUAAGAAAGGAGGAGGGAGGCUCCCAGGACCCAGACAUAAGCAUAUCUCCAAUGGUGGAUGUUUACGCAGGGUGUUGGCAAAUGAAAGAGUCAGCAUCGUGAUCGGGAUGGGAGCGUGGGAGUACAGCCGCCCAGGACACUUGCACUGUCUUACAGAUGAUUGCCAGCAGAGAGCCUUGGACUGAAGGAACAGUGAGCGAUGACAAGCCUGAUAACUUAUGCCUAAAUUGAGCCACAGAACUCUACAGCUCCUUCAGAAAGGCUGCAAUUGCCCUAACCUGGAACUGUCCUAGCCUUGGAACUGUCCUGGCCUUGGGACUGUCCUAGCAUGGAAACUAUCCUAGCUUUGGGACUGUCCUGGCCUUGGGACUGUCCUAGCCUUGGGACUGUCCUAGCCUUGGGGUGCAGGUCAAGCAGCUCAAGGUGGAAAAUUCUCAGGGUGAAGACAAAUUAGGAAGUGUUCCUGCCUGGGGCAUGUGGGGUUCUCUUUGGAGUUUUAGGGGGACCUGGUUGGUUGUAGGUCCUGAGAAGGGCAGUUAUAUAGGAAAUAUGAUGAGUCCAAACAACCCAAAUCUAUCACCACAUCUAUGUAUUGACAGCAACAAUAAACCUCAAAAGAAAUAACUAAGUAGAUGCAAGACAGGUAGAAAGAAAAAGAAAACCCUUUAGGAUUUCCAGGGACUCACUAAAGGGGCCACCUCUUAUUUCUGGAAAUAGAUUCCCAGUGUCAAUCAAGCACUGAUUGCUAAAAUGAAAGGCUUUUGGGGAAUGAUAUUUUCAUUAUAUACAAAAUAUAUAUCAUAAUAUAUAACUAAAUACAUGAUAUAUCAUAUAUU
This 1326-nucleotide long non-coding RNA is filed under the name Mus caroli (Ryukyu mouse). RNAcentral's name for it is "predicted gene 13571 (MGP_CAROLIEiJ_G0003182.1)". The record is from RNAcentral. Lineage: Eukaryota; Metazoa; Chordata; Mammalia; Rodentia; Muridae.